RNAcentral lists this ribosomal RNA (545 nucleotides) under Aspergillus flavus. RNAcentral describes it as "eukaryotic LSU rRNA". The stretch from base 204 to 357 matches the Rfam family "5.8S ribosomal RNA". The record is from RNAcentral. Lineage: Eukaryota; Fungi; Ascomycota; Eurotiomycetes; Eurotiales; Aspergillaceae.
GUACCUGCGGAAGGAUCAUUACCGAGUGUAGGGUUCCUAGCGAGCCCAACCUCCCACCCGUGUUUACUGUACCUUAGUUGCUUCGGCGGGCCCGCCAUUCAUGGCCGCCGGGGGCUCUCAGCCCCGGGCCCGCGCCCGCCGGAGACACCACGAACUCUGUCUGAUCUAGUGAAGUCUGAGUUGAUUGUAUCGCAAUCAGUUAAAACUUUCAACAAUGGAUCUCUUGGUUCCGGCAUCGAUGAAGAACGCAGCGAAAUGCGAUAACUAGUGUGAAUUGCAGAAUUCCGUGAAUCAUCGAGUCUUUGAACGCACAUUGCGCCCCCUGGUAUUCCGGGGGGCAUGCCUGUCCGAGCGUCAUUGCUGCCCAUCAAGCACGGCUUGUGUGUUGGGUCGUCGUCCCCUCUCCGGGGGGGACGGGCCCCAAAGGCAGCGGCGGCACCGCGUCCGAUCCUCGAGCGUAUGGGGCUUUGUCACCCGCUCUGUAGGCCCGGCCGGCGCUUGCCGAACGCAAAUCAAUCUUUUCCAGGUUGACCUCGGAUCAGGUA